RNAcentral lists this ribosomal RNA (253 nucleotides) under uncultured bacterium. Its description in RNAcentral is "partial 16S ribosomal RNA". It matches the Rfam family "Bacterial small subunit ribosomal RNA", at positions 524 to 776 of the family's 1533-position model. The record is from RNAcentral.
UACGUAGGGUCCGAGCGUUGUCCGGAAUUAUUGGGCGUAAUGAGCUCGUAGGCGGUUUGUCGCGUCUGCUGUGAAAUCCCGAGGCUCAACCUCGGGUCUGCAGUGGGUACGGGCAGACUGGAGUGCGGUAGGGGAGAAUGGAAUUCCUGGUGUAGCGGUGGAAUGCGCAGAUAUCAGGAGGAACACCGAUGGCGAAGGCAGUUCUCUGGGCCGUAACUGACGCUGAGGAGCGAAAGCGUGGGGAGCGAACAGG